AUUGUCAUGUCAUCUCUCCUGCCGAUGAUCAUCUGCAUAGUGCGAGCGGGAGAAGUCAGUUUUGGAGCUCUUUGGGGUUUGUUCGUGUCCGAGGGCAAAGUUAGCCCGUCCCCGAUCACUCAACAAUUCUUUCAAGUGUCCAUGAUUUAGCAUUCUCACUACCUCAUGUCGCAGUCCUAUGCAAUCUUCGAUUUUGUGACCCAUUUCCUGGUGGAAUUCAUAGAGAGCGUUCGACUUCCGAGUGCUUGGAUCAGACUUCAUAUUUUGUAAUCAUCAUACCUUUGUACCGAGUUUCUCUAGUGCACACACUAUUUAUGAAGGAGAGACAUAGAAGUUUUGAGCAGUUAGGAGCGGAGGCAUACCUUUCUCAUGACGAUAUGGCACUGCAUGCG
Molecule: long non-coding RNA, 392 nt
Filed under: Nicotiana benthamiana
Lineage: Eukaryota; Viridiplantae; Streptophyta; Magnoliopsida; Solanales; Solanaceae
Description: long non-coding RNA (NBEN_LNC029607)
Source: RNAcentral